UAGAGCCCGUAAAGGUGAUUUCUUUUGGUAAAUUUUUAACAAUAAAAAAGGCGAAGCUACGGCUCCCGAAGAGAAGACGACGGAGGAGCCUGCCGACGUAGGAAGAUUUGACGGUGGAGAUCGAGGAAAUAAACCAUGACCUCGAGAAAGAAGCGAGGGGCGAAGGAGAAAGCUAAAGCCGCAUCUUUCGCUGCUUCGUUAGCAGCUGAGAGGAUCACAGAUAAAAAAACUUUACAAAAGAGUGAGGCAGAGACAUUAAGGAAAUAGGUUGCUGAGAUAAAAUCCCCACAAAACAUAAUAAGAGUUUGGUUAGGUACUCCCGACAUGGCGGAAGCCGUGUAUGUUUACUAUUACGCCGCCUACGCUUAUAAUUGCACCGCCUGUAAGUUCCAUGGAGUAUAGACUCAUCUCAAUUUCUCAAAUCUCAAGGGAUAGUUACUGGAAUUCUCCUGAUCCAUAUAUUCAAUGAUUGACUUGUGUUUCUCCUAUAAAUAUCUGUUUUUAAUCUUGAUAAAUGAGGAUGUUUAUAAUCAUACUUAUAUGUAUGCAAAUCUGAAUAGCAAUGUCGACAAGUACAUAUAAAUGCUUAAUCAUUCUUAUA
Brassica napus (rape) is the source of this 601-nucleotide long non-coding RNA. RefSeq lists it as uncharacterized. The transcript is spliced from 2 exons. The record is from RefSeq and is a predicted model, not a curated record. NCBI's taxonomy places the organism in Eukaryota, Viridiplantae, Streptophyta, Magnoliopsida, Brassicales, Brassicaceae.